RNAcentral lists this transfer RNA (85 nucleotides) under Parastagonospora nodorum SN15. RNAcentral describes it as "Phaeosphaeria nodorum SN15 tRNA-Asn for anticodon GUU". It matches the Rfam family "tRNA". Rfam says of the family: Transfer RNA (tRNA) molecules are approximately 80 nucleotides in length. Their secondary structure includes four short double-helical elements and three loops (D, anti-codon, and T loops). Further hydrogen bonds mediate the characteristic L-shaped molecular structure. tRNAs have two regions of fundamental functional importance: the anti-codon, which is responsible for specific mRNA codon recognition, and the 3' end, to which the tRNAs corresponding amino acid is attached (by aminoacyl-tRNA synthetases). tRNAs cope with the degeneracy of the genetic code in two manners: having more than one tRNA (with a specific anti-codon) for a particular amino acid; and 'wobble' base-pairing, i.e. permitting non-standard base-pairing at the 3rd anti-codon position. Lineage: Eukaryota; Fungi; Ascomycota; Dothideomycetes; Pleosporales; Phaeosphaeriaceae. The record is from Rfam by way of RNAcentral.
UCCUCCGUGGCGCAAUAGGCAGCGCGUCUGACUGUUAUCACGAUAGCACAUCAGGAGGUUGGAAGUUCGAACCUUCCCGGGGGAG